UACGUAGGAGACAAGCGUUGUCCGGAAUUACUGGGUGUAAAGCGCGUGUAGGCGGUAGGCCAAGUCUGCUGUGAAAUCGCCCGGCUCAACUGGGCGCGGUCGGUGGAAACUGGUCAACUGGAGGACGGUAGAGGCGAGUGGAAUUCCCGGUGUAGUGGUGAAAUGCGUAGAGAUCGGGAGGAACACCAGUGGCGAGGGCGGCUCGCUGGGCCGGUCCUGACGCUGAGACGCGAAGGCGUGGGGAGCGAACGGG
This 253-nucleotide ribosomal RNA is filed under the name uncultured bacterium. RNAcentral's name for it is "partial 16S ribosomal RNA". It matches the Rfam family "Bacterial small subunit ribosomal RNA", at positions 524 to 776 of the family's 1533-position model. The record is from RNAcentral.